Molecule: ribosomal RNA, 512 nt
Filed under: uncultured bacterium
Lineage: Bacteria
Description: bacterial SSU rRNA
Rfam family: Bacterial small subunit ribosomal RNA
Source: RNAcentral
GAUCAUGGCUCAGGAUGAACGCUAGCGGCAGGCUUAACACAUGCAAGUCGAGGGGCAGCGGGAUGUAGCAAUACAUUGCCGGCGACCGGCGGAUGGGUGCGUAACGCGUAUGCAACCUACCUUAUACAGGGGAAUAACCUUUCGAAAGGGAGACUAACACCCCAUAGUAUUGAUUUAAGGCAUCUUAGAUUAAUUAAAUAUUUAUAGGUAUAAGAUGGGCAUGCGUAUGAUUAGCUAGUUGGUAAGGUAACGGCUUACCAAGGCGACGAUCAUUAGGGGUUCUGAGAGGAAGGUCCCCCACACUGGUACUGAGACACGGACCAGACUCCUACGGGAGGCAGCAGUGAGGAAUAUUGGUCAAUGGGCGCAAGCCUGAACCAGCCAUGCCGCGUGCAGGAAAAGACGGCCUUAUGGGUUGUAAACUGCUUUUACAUAAGACUAACCGUAUAUUUGCGAAUAUACCUGAAUGUAUUAUGAGAAUAAGGAUCGGCUAACUCCGUGCCAGCAGCCGC